Molecule: ribosomal RNA, 445 nt
Filed under: uncultured bacterium
Lineage: Bacteria
Description: partial 16S ribosomal RNA
Rfam family: Bacterial small subunit ribosomal RNA
Source: RNAcentral
GUGAGGAAUAUUGGACAAUGGGCGCAAGCCUGAUCCAGCCAUGCCGCGUGCAGGAAGACGCAUCUAUGGUGUGUAAACUGCUUUUGUACGGGAAGAAACACUCCCUCGUGAGGGAGCUUGACGGUACCGUAAGAAUAAGGAUCGGCUAACUCCGUGCCAGCAGCCGCGGUAAUACGGAGGAUCCAAGCGUUAUCCGGAAUCAUUGGGUUUAAAGGGUCCGUAGGCGGUUUAAUAAGUCAGUGGUGAAAGCCCAUCGCUCAACGAUGGAACGGCCAUUGAUACUGUUAGACUUGAAUUACAAGGAAGUAACCAGAAUAUGUAGUGUAGCGGUGAAAUGCUUAGAUAUUACAUGGAAUACCAAUUGCGAAGGCAGGUUACUACUUGUGGAUUGACGCUGAUGGACGAAAGCGUGGGGAGCGAACAGGAUUAGAAACCCUGGUAGUCC